CUUUACUUAAACACUUCAUCCCUCAUGUCCUUCCUGUCUCUGUAACGUUACUUCUCGUUGUUUUUAUUCUCUUCAGUGCGAGUGUUACCAUCCCAGAAGUGAUUGGAAGGUUCACAGAGAUCUUGGGAAAGAGCUGCUUAAAAAUAAGUCUGUCCCCUCUAGAAACAACAAAGUUGAAGCCGUGGGCACUGACUGCAGCUCUGCUGGAUGCCGUCAGUGGGGAAGUAGGGCCCCAAGGAGUUUUUUUUUACAAAGGCAGCUGUAUCUCGGCACGCACUCCAACCUGAAGUAUUGCUGAGCCAGCAAGAGUUGGAAACACAAAUGAAAUGGCAACCAGUGGAAGGGAGCCGAUGGCUUUUGGAAAACAUCACCUACGUGGGAGCAUUUCUGUCUCUUCAGAGAGAGGUUUCAGCAAUCCGAACUAUCUGAUCUCACCUAAUAACGCUGUAGCACGUCAACUCAUCGGUGCAGCUGUCUUUGCUCCUAGGUAGGUUCCACCAAGACGUUAAGCUCUAUUUGCUUUGGGUAAGAUACCAAGCUAUGGCUGUGCUGUUUUGCGGGGGACAAUUUUCUGAUGUUUGAUUGCCUUGGGUAAGACAUUUUUGGUGAAUCAUUGUACCGAAAUGCAAAGAAGGUAACUUGAGAAAGAUGCUUAUGUUUCUGUAGCGCUCUGCAGCAGAUGUCUCCUAUUUACUGCUUUAUUUUAUUGCUUAAUGACUGGAUCUCAAGUAAUUGAACAAUUUGACAGAUAUUUAUUUGUAAAACGUGAUUCAUUUAGUCAGACAUUGUGAAACAGUUUCAUGCCAGUUCUAGAGAUUCUGGUAGAACUUUCUAAAGAUGCAAGCGUUCAAGUAAAUUGCUCAUGUCAAUAGCACAUCCACUUUUUACUGUUCUUUACUGCACACAAAUAUUUGAGUUGACAAAAAAGCACUGGUGAACAGACUACAGGGACUUCUGAACUUUAAUCAACCACAAGCACUGGCAGGGUUCAGAAGUAAUUUCCUAACUAUGAAUCACCUGCAGACAAUGAAUCACAUACUGGAGAAGAUUGCCAAAUAAAACAAGCCAUCAUGUAUAGCUUGCA
This 1084-nucleotide long non-coding RNA is filed under the name Numida meleagris (helmeted guineafowl). RNAcentral's name for it is "lncRNA (ENSNMEG00000016650.1)". Lineage: Eukaryota; Metazoa; Chordata; Aves; Galliformes; Numididae. The record is from RNAcentral.